Non-coding RNA from Schizosaccharomyces pombe (fission yeast), 350 nucleotides. The record is from the annotation of a GenBank genome assembly. NCBI's taxonomy places the organism in Eukaryota, Fungi, Ascomycota, Schizosaccharomycetes, Schizosaccharomycetales, Schizosaccharomycetaceae.
AGUUACUCUAAGAUGAUUACAACGUUUAGUAUCAGAAUCUCAGGUAAGGUCUCCAGACAAAACGAAUACUGCCUGUUCGACAAAGAUCGCUCCACACAGUAUCUGCUAGCUUACAAUUAUUCUCCUUCUCCUGUUAAUUUAGCAGUUGAAACACAACAUGUAAACAAUAGCAAAUUACGCGGUCGUUUAGGUUAAAGACAUCUGAAGGUCCCAAAAGUUCGAACUUUUUAGUAACUACUGGUUACCUUUAUCCAAGAACAAAACUUUCUUUAAUUACAAAUGGAAUAUGAAUACGGGUCCGUGGAAUGGGGAAUUUUAGAAAUGUUCAAUGAUUGUAACGUAAACCAAUG